GAACUUUGGCAAUGAUCUUAUAGAAGACAGUGAACUUUGUCCGGGUGAAUGGAGAAGCAAGCUCUCUUGAUUUCCUCGCCCAAAGGUACAGAGGUAAGUACCGUAUUCAUUUCAGCAGUGAUACUUGGUUGAAUCGCCUCAUUGACCAGGUUAGCUCUGUCACAUUCUUGAGAAGUAAACAGCGAAGUGAAGUAGUCAGUGAUAACCCGCAAAAUAUCUGCCUCCUCAUAUUGGGGAAUGCCUUCAUUAUUUUUUAUAACUGAAAACUUGUUUACAGUAGUUCUGCCUUUUGUUAUAGCAUGGAAAUAGCCCGAGUUUUUAUCUCCCAAUGAUAGCCAAAGUUGUCUACUUCUUUGUUUCCAGAAAUUUUCUUCAGCUUGGUAGGCCAACAGAAGGGUUUUGUUUAUGGAGGUUAUGAGGUUUUGAUCAUGGUUAGGGCUUGACAUUGCUUCCUCCAGCUUUUUCCUAUUUUCCUCAAUGAUCAAUUGGCUGUUAAUAUGAGUCUCUCUUGUCCAGGCCAUAAUGUCUCUACGACAUCUAAUGAUCUUUGCAUCCACAUCUUCCUGAGCAUCAGCACUCCAAG
This 583-nucleotide long non-coding RNA is filed under the name Arabidopsis thaliana (thale cress). Its description in RNAcentral is "long non-coding RNA (ATHA_LNC000140)". The record is from RNAcentral. Lineage: Eukaryota; Viridiplantae; Streptophyta; Magnoliopsida; Brassicales; Brassicaceae.